GGAACGGCCGCUGGGAGCGGCGGCUGCCGCGCAGUGAGGGCCGGGGGGGGCCGGCCGAGGCACUUCCAACGAGGCGGGGGGGCGGCAGACCCCCCGCAAUGGCACUGCGGCGCGGCGGGCGGGUGAGGAGGACUGAGGACGAACGCGGCCCCCAGGAUCCGAUCCUCCUCACCGGCGCCGCGCUCCGGCUCACCGAGGCACUGUACGGGCGGCGGGCGGUGGCUGUUAGUAACUGACAGGAGUGUCUUAAGGCAACCAGCUUGGCUGCACUGGUCUCAAACUGGGAAGCUCCCGCUUGCAGCGCAUCAGCACGGUCAUCCAACUCCGACAACUUCUGAUCUCUUUCCAGCACCUUGUCCACAUUCACCCUCAUGAUGUCAACAACCUACAUCAGUCACACGUUCCGUGCUGUUUUAUUGCUAUAAAUAUUUAGAAACUGCUUUCUGAGGCUCCAAACAGAACACACACAAGAAAAAGUCGCCUCUCAUUUCUUUGCCUACAUCGGCAGUGCUUUCAGGAAAGACUCUGUAAGUUGGCAAAGCUGCCUACAUUGUCACGGGGAAGCCGGACAGGAUACCCC
Molecule: long non-coding RNA, 580 nt
Filed under: Gallus gallus (chicken)
Lineage: Eukaryota; Metazoa; Chordata; Aves; Galliformes; Phasianidae
Source: RNAcentral